RNAcentral lists this ribosomal RNA (459 nucleotides) under uncultured bacterium. Its description in RNAcentral is "partial 16S ribosomal RNA". It matches the Rfam family "Bacterial small subunit ribosomal RNA", at positions 338 to 795 of the family's 1533-position model. The record is from RNAcentral.
CCUACGGGGGGCUGCAGUGAGGAAUAUUGGUCAAUGGACGAGAGUCUGAACCAGCCAAGUAGCGUGAAGGAUGACUGCCCUAUGGGUUGUAAACUUCUUUUAUAUGGGAAUAAAAUGUUCCACGUGUGGGAUUUUGUAUGUACCAUAUGAAUAAGGAUCGGCUAACUCCGUGCCAGCAGCCGCGGUAAUACGGAGGAUCCGAGCGUUAUCCGGAUUUAUUGGGUUUAAAGGGUGCGCAGGCGGAAGAUCAAGUCAGCGGUAAAAUUGAGAGGCUCAACCUCUUCGAGCCGUUGAAACUGGUUUUCUUGAGUGAGUGAGAAGUAUGCGGAAUGCGUGGUGUAGCGGUGAAAUGCAUAGAUAUCACGCAGAACUCCGAUUGCGAAGGCAGUUCACUGGACUGCAACUGACACUGAGGCUCGAAAGUGUGGGUAUCAAACAGGAUUAGAUACCCUUGUAGUC